Molecule: ribosomal RNA, 205 nt
Filed under: uncultured bacterium
Lineage: Bacteria
Description: partial 16S ribosomal RNA
Rfam family: Bacterial small subunit ribosomal RNA
Source: RNAcentral
UGCGUAGGUGGUGAGGUAAGUCGGAUGUGAAAGCUCGGAGCUCAACUCCGAAAUGGCAUUGGAAACUACCUUGCUCGAGGGUUGGAGGGGGGACUGGAAUUCUCGGUGUAGCAGUGAAAUGCGUAGAUAUCGAGAGGAACACCAGUGGCGAAGGCGAGUCCCUGGACAACUCCUGACACUGAGGCACGAAAGCUGGGAGCAAACA